RNAcentral lists this ribosomal RNA (884 nucleotides) under uncultured zygomycete. RNAcentral's name for it is "eukaryotic LSU rRNA". It matches the Rfam family "Eukaryotic large subunit ribosomal RNA", at positions 1 to 897 of the family's 3401-position model. Lineage: Eukaryota; Fungi. The record is from RNAcentral.
CGUUUGACCUCGGAUCAGGUAGGGAUACCCGCUGAACUUAAGCAUAUCAAUAAGCGGAGGAAAAGAAACCAACAGGGAUUGCCCUAGUAACGGCGAGUGAAGCGGCAACAGCUCAAAUUUGAAAUCUGGCUCUUUCAGAGUCCGAGUUGUAAUUUGCAGAGGGCGCUUUGGCUUUGGCAGCGGUCCAAGUUCCUUGGAACAGGACGUCACAGAGGGUGAGAAUCCCGUACGUGGUCGCUAGCUAUUGCCGUGUAAAGCCCCUUCGACGAGUCGAGUUGUUUGGGAAUGCAGCUCUAAAUGGGAGGUAAAUUUCUUCUAAAGCUAAAUAUCGGCCAGAGACCGAUAGCGCACAAGUAGAGUGAUCGAAAGAUGAAAAGCACUUUGGAAAGAGAGUCAAACAGCACGUGAAAUUGUUGAAAGGGAAGCGCUUGCAGCCAGACUUGCUUGCAGUUGCUCAUCCGGGCUUUUGCCCGGUGCACUCUUCUGCAGGCAGGCCAGCAUCAGUUUGGGCGGUGGGAUAAAGGUCUCUGUCACGUACCUUCCUUCGGGUUGGCCUUAUAGGGGAGACGCCAUACCACCAGCCUGGACUGAGGUCCGCGCAUCUGCUAGGAUGCUGGCGUAAUGGCUGUAAGCGGCCCGUCUUGAAACACGGACCAAGGAGUCUAACAUCUAUGCGAGUGUUUGGGUGUCAAGCCCGAGCGCGUAAUGAAAGUGAACGGAGGUGGGAACCCGCAAGGGUGCACCAUCGACCGAUCCUGAAGUUUACGGAAGGAUUUGAGUAAGAGCAUGGCUGUUGGGACCCGAAAGAUGGUGAACUAUGCUUGAAUAGGGUGAAGCCCAGAGGAAACUCUGGUGGAGGCUCGCAACCGGUUCUGACGUGCAAA